GGGGGCGUAAAGGUUUCGACGGGGAUUUUGAACCAACGAAAGCGAGCAGCGGUGCGGAACCGCUAUAAAAUCCGCAAUUUAAAAUUAACUGACAACAAUAAAGUUGCCUUUGCUGCCUGAUUAAGGCGGCCGUCCGACCGAAGAGUACCGCGGCUUCGUGAGGGCGUCAUUCAGCGGUGAACGUGAAUAUCCGCUUCGGCUCUCGGCGGGUAUCAUGACUAAAGAGCCUACCGUGUUUUCCGCCUGACAACCGGCUGAAUACCCGGGAAAUUUAACGAUUGUCUGCGCUCGGAGACGUCGUUGGGAAUUGAUUUUCGGACGCGAGUUCGACUCUCGCCGCCUCCACCA
This 348-nucleotide transfer-messenger RNA is filed under the name Clostridia bacterium. It matches the Rfam family "transfer-messenger RNA". From Rfam's summary of the family: Bacterial tmRNA, also known as 10Sa RNA or SsrA, is named for its dual tRNA and mRNA-like properties. RNAcentral also lists the same sequence under 1 other name. The record is from RNAcentral. Lineage: Bacteria; Bacillati; Bacillota; Clostridia.